Molecule: ribosomal RNA, 507 nt
Filed under: uncultured bacterium
Lineage: Bacteria
Description: bacterial SSU rRNA
Rfam family: Bacterial small subunit ribosomal RNA
Source: RNAcentral
UCCUGGCUUAGGAUGAACGCUAGCGGCAGGCUUAACACAUGCAAGGUCGAGGGGCAUCGGGAGUAGCAAUACUGCCGGCGACCGGCGCAAGGGUGCGUAACGCGUGAGCAACAUGCCCGUAUCAGGGGGAUAAUCCAUGGAAACGUGGUCUAAUACCCCAUAGUAAUUAUGUAAGGCAUCUUAUAUAAUUUAAAGCUUUGGUGGAUACGGAUUGGCUCGCGUGACAUUAGCUGGAUGGUAAGGUAACGGCUUACCAUGGCUACGAUGUCUAGGGGUUCUGAGAGGAAGGUCCCCCACACUGGAACUGAGACACGGUCCAGACUCCUACGGGAGGCAGCAGUGAGGAAUAUUGGACAAUGGAUGGAAAUCUGAUCCAGCCAUGCCGCGUGCCAGGAAGACGGCCCUAUGGGUUGUAAACUGCUUUUGUAUGGGAGCAAUAAGGGCUACGUGUAGUCCGAUGAGAGUACCAUACGAAUAAGCACCGGCUAACUCCGUGCCAGCCGCCGC